GAUGAACGCUGGCGGCGUGCCUAAUACAUGCAAGUCGAGCGAACAGAUGAGGAGCUUGCUCCUCUGACGUUAGCGGCGGACGGGUGAGUAACACGUGGAUAACCUACCUAUAAGACUGGGAUAACUUCGGGAAACCGGAGCUAAUACCGGAUAAUAUAUUGAACCGCAUGGUUCAAUAGUGAAAGACGGUUUUGCUGUCACUUAUAGAUGGAUCCGCGCCGCAUUAGCUAGUUGGUAAGGUAACGGCUUACCAAGGCAACGAUGCGUAGCCUACCUGAGAGGGUGAUCGGCCACACUGGAACUGAGACACGGUCCAGACUCCUACGGGAGGCAGCAGUAGGGAAUCUUCCGCAAUGGGCGAAAGCCUGACGGAGCAACGCCGCGUGAGUGAUGAAGGUCUUCGGAUCGUAAAACUCUGUUAUUAGGGAAGAACAAAUGUGUAAGUAACUAUGCACGUCUUGACGGUACCUAAUCAGAAAGCCACGGCUAACUACGUG
Molecule: ribosomal RNA, 497 nt
Filed under: uncultured bacterium
Lineage: Bacteria
Description: partial 16S ribosomal RNA
Rfam family: Bacterial small subunit ribosomal RNA
Source: RNAcentral